RNAcentral lists this ribosomal RNA (296 nucleotides) under uncultured bacterium. RNAcentral's name for it is "partial 16S ribosomal RNA". The record is from RNAcentral.
GGACUACACGGGUAUCUAAUCCCAUUCGCUCCCCACGCUUUCGUCCUAGCAGUGUCAGGUGGCACCCAGAAGCCUGCCUACGCUAUUGGUGUUCCGAACGAUAUCAACGCAUUUCACUACUACACCGUUCGUUCCAGCUUCCUCUUUGCCCCUCUAGUUUUGCAGUUCCAAUGGACAGUCCCAAAGUUGAGCUUUGGGAUUUCACCACUGGCUAACAAAACCACCUGUCGGUACGCUUUACGCCCAAUAAUUCCGGAUAACGCUUGAGGUCUCUGUAUUACCGCGGCUGCUGGCAC